Molecule: ribosomal RNA, 253 nt
Filed under: uncultured bacterium
Lineage: Bacteria
Description: partial 16S ribosomal RNA
Rfam family: Bacterial small subunit ribosomal RNA
Source: RNAcentral
UACGUAGGCAGCAAGCGUUGUUCGGAAUUACUGGGCGUAAAGAGUGUGUAGGCGGUGCUCUAAGUUCGGUGUGAAAUCUCCCGGCUCAACUGGGGAGGGUCACGCGAUACUGAUCGACUCGAAGGCAGGAGAGGGAAGUGGAAUUCCCGGUGUAGUGGUGAAAUGCGUAGAUAUCGGGAGGAACACCAGUGGCGAAGGCGACUUCCUGGCCUGUUCUUGACGCUGAGGCGCGAAAGCUAGGGGAGCAAACGGG